RNAcentral lists this ribosomal RNA (308 nucleotides) under uncultured bacterium. Its description in RNAcentral is "bacterial SSU rRNA". It matches the Rfam family "Bacterial small subunit ribosomal RNA", at positions 28 to 334 of the family's 1533-position model. The record is from RNAcentral.
GACGAACGCUGGCGGCGUGCUUAACACAUGCAAGUCGAGCGGUAAGGCCCUUUCGGGGGUACGACGAGCGGCGAACGGGUGAGUAACACGUGGGUGACCUGCCCUCAGCUCUGGGAUAAGCCUGGGAAACCGGGUCUAAUACUGGAUAUGACUCCAUGACGCAUGUUGGUGGGGUGGAAAGCCUUGUGCGGCUGAGGAUGGGCCCGCGGCCUAUCAGCUUUGUUGGGUGGGGUGAGGCCUACCAAGGCGACGACGGGUAGCCGGCCUGAGAGGGCGACCGGCCACACUGGGACUGAGACACCGGCCAG